Molecule: ribosomal RNA, 467 nt
Filed under: uncultured bacterium
Lineage: Bacteria
Description: partial 16S ribosomal RNA
Rfam family: Bacterial small subunit ribosomal RNA
Source: RNAcentral
GAUGAACGCUGGCGGCGUGCUUAACACAUGCAAGUCGAACGGAAAGGCCAGUGCUUGCACUGGUGCUCGAGUGGCGAACGGGUGAGUAACACGUGGGUGAUCUGCCCUGCACUUUGGGAUAAGCCUGGGAAACUGGGUCUAAUACCAGAUAGGACCAUGCUUUGGAUGGUGUGGUGGAAAGUUUUUUCGUUGUGGGAUGAGCUUGCGGCCUAUCAGCUUGUUGGUGGGGUAAUGGCCUACCAAGGCGUCGACGGGUAGCCGGCCUGAGAGGGUGUACGGCCACAUUGGGACUGAGAUACGGCCCAGACUCCUACGGGAGGCAGCAGUGGGGAAUAUUGCACAAUGGGCGCAAGCCUGAUGCAGCGACGCCGCGUGGGGGAUGACGGCCUUCGGGUUGUAAAAUCCUUUCGCAACUGACGAAGCUUUUUGUGACGGUAGGUUGAGAAGAAGCACCGGCUAACUACGUG